Molecule: ribosomal RNA, 385 nt
Filed under: uncultured bacterium
Lineage: Bacteria
Description: bacterial SSU rRNA
Rfam family: Bacterial small subunit ribosomal RNA
Source: RNAcentral
GACGAACGCUGGCGGCGUGCUUAACACAUGCAAGUCGAACGGUAAGGCCCUUCGGGGUACACGAGUGGCGAACGGGUGAGUAACACGUGGGUGAUCUGCCCUGCACUUCGGGAUAAGCCUGGGAAACUGGGUCUAAUACCGGAUAGGACCAUGGACUUCACGGUUUGUGGUGGAAAGCUUUUGCGGUGUGGGAUGGGCCCGCGGCCUAUCAGCUUGUUGGUGGGGUAAUGGCCUACCAAGGCGACGACGGGUAGCCGGGCCUGAGAGGGUGUCCGGCCACACUGGGACUGAGAUACGGCCCAGACUCCUACGGGAGGCAGCAGUGGGGAAUAUUGCACAAUGGGCGCAAGCCUGAUGCAGCGACGCCGCGUGAGGGAUGACGGCC